Molecule: non-coding RNA, 29 nt
Filed under: Mus musculus (house mouse)
Lineage: Eukaryota; Metazoa; Chordata; Mammalia; Rodentia; Muridae
Source: RNAcentral
UAGGUGAUUCCUGCCAUUUGGUAUUCCUC